UCGAGCGGAGAUGAGGUGCUUGCACCUUAUCUUAGCGGCGGACGGGUGAGUAAUGCUUAGGAAUCUGCCAUUUAGUGGGGGACAACAUUCCGAAAGGAAUGCUAAUACCGCAUACGUCCUACGGGAGAAAGCAGGGGAUCUUCGGACCUUGCGCUAAAUGAUGAGCCUAAGUCGGAUUAGCUAGUUGGUGGGGUAAAGGCCUACCAAGGCGACGAUCUGUAGCGGGUCUGAGAGGAUGAUCCGCCACACUGGGACUGAGACACGGCCCAGACUCCUACGGGAGGCAGCAGUGGGGAAUAUUGGACAAUGGGCGGAAGCCUGAUCCAGCCAUGCCGCGUGUGUGAAGAAGGCCUUUUGGUUGUAAAGCACUUUAAGCGAGGAGGAGGCUACCUGGAUUAAUACUCUGGGAUAGUGGACGUUACUCGCAGAAUAAGCACCGGCUAACUCUGUGCCAGCAGCCGCGGUAAUACAGAGGGUGCGAGCGUUAAUCGGAUUUACUGGGCGUAAAGCGUGCGUAGGCGGCUGAUUAAGUCGGAUGUGAAAUCCCUGAGCUUAACUUAGGAAUUGCAUUCGAUACUGGUCAGCUAGAGUAUGGGAGAGGAUGGUAGAAUUCCAGGUGUAGCGGUGAAAUGCGUAGAGAUCUGGAGGAAUACCGAUGGCGAAGGCAGCCAUCUGGCCUAAUACUGACGCUGAGGUACGAAAGCAUGGGGAGCAAACAGGAUUAGAUACCCUGGUAGUCCAUGCCGUAAACGAUGUCUACUAGCCGUUGGGGCCUUUGAGGCUUUAGUGGCGCAGCUAACGCGAUAAGUAGACCGCCUGGGGAGUACGGUCGCAAGACUAAAACUCAAAUGAAUUGACGGGGGCCCGCACAAGCGGUGGAGCAUGUGGUUUAAUUCGAUGCAACGCGAAGAACCUUACCUGGCCUUGACAUAGUAGAAACUUUCCAGAGAUGGAUUGGUGCCUUCGGGAAUCUAGAUACAGGUGCUGCAAUGGCUGUUUCCCAGCUCGUGUCGUGAGAUGUUGGGUUAAGUCCCGCAACGAGCGCAACCCUUUUCCUUACUUGCCAGCAUUUCGGAUGGGAACUUUAAGGAUACUGCCAGUGACAAACUGGAGGAAGGCGGGGACGACGUCAAGUCAUCAUGGCCCUUACGGCCAGGGCUACACACGUGCUACAAUGGUCGGUACAAAGGGUUGCUACCUAGCGAUAGGAUGCUAAUCUCAAAAAGCCGAUCGUAGUCCGGAUUGGAGUCUGCAACUCGACUCCAUGAAGUCGGAAUCGCUAGUAAUCGCGGAUCAGAAUGCCGCGGUGAAUACGUUCCCGGGCCUUGUACACACCGCCCGUCACACCAUGGGAGUUUGUUGCACCAGAAGUAGGUAGUCUAACCGCAAG
This 1390-nucleotide ribosomal RNA is filed under the name bacterium 14W525. RNAcentral describes it as "bacterial SSU rRNA". It matches the Rfam family "Bacterial small subunit ribosomal RNA". The record is from RNAcentral.